Long non-coding RNA from Homarus americanus (American lobster), 1510 nucleotides. RefSeq lists it as uncharacterized. NCBI's taxonomy places the organism in Eukaryota, Metazoa, Arthropoda, Malacostraca, Decapoda, Nephropidae. The record is from RefSeq and is a predicted model, not a curated record. The transcript is spliced from 3 exons.
AAGAUGUGUUGCAGGUUGCCCUUCAGACGCGCUCCGGUGGGUGCUUGAGACGGUGGUGUUCUGGUGGUAGUGCAGGGAAUCGUGUCGGUGAUUCGAGAAAAGUGAAUCGUCGAUCUUUCAAAUCCACAACUACAACCUUCAACACUCGACACCAUAAAGCAUAAAAAAGAUAAAAAAAAAUCUCAACCAGACGUCAUCGCGUUCCUGUUCCUUUUGUUUUGGACACGAAGAUGAAAGACGCAACCAAACUUUCCGACGCCAAGAAAAUAUUUUUAGUCUUCCAUGAGAUGCUGGGUUUAACCGGGUGUAUGAUGCAGGACAUAAGAAGUAUCUUGCCAAUAGGAGGCUUAAUCAGGUGCCUAUUUAUCUCUUCGUCAUCCACUUCGACUCCUACAUGACGCAAGGUAAGUGUUUAAAUUUCAAAACUUAAGUUUCAGUAACCGUAAAUGACAAUACAAUAUUUGUCAAUGAUUUUAAACACAUUAAUAGAUUGUAGUAAAAAUCCAGCUCUUGAUUCAAGAAAAGUGAAAGAAGUUAACUCAAUACGUUGUCUUAUAUUCUUCCUUUCUCUAGUUAGUGAAAAAAGUUGGUAUACGUUUCAUAAGUCAAGUCAUUUCUCAUGCAAGAAAUGCAGAGGAAAGCCGAAGAUGAAUUUCGUCGUUCUCUUGAGACCAAACAACAAUACACCACGCCUGAGAACCACGCUGAAGCAUUCAUUUGUAUAUUAGGACUGUUAACUUGCUAAGCCAUGUGUACUGGUAUGCAACAUCGGUGGUUUUACGCUACAAUCACUAUGUGACUGAAGAUGAGGGACAAAAGAAGUACUUCUGAGAGUUUGCCAAAAGAGCCAUGGCAGACGCUGGGUGGUGACACUGAGAAACAUGAAUUGGAAAACAAACGAACCCGAGGAAACGAGAGAUGUCACCAGCCAGCUUGUCAAGAAGUGUGGAGAAGAACCAUGGUAGUCGCAGGACCUUGCUGACGAGCUGGAGCAGAACAAAACAUAUAGCAGUCAGAUUGAGGCAGUUGAAGAGAUCGCUGCCUUGAAUAUGACUAAAUUUAUCACAUGACCUGGCAGCAGACGCAAGAAAGUACACAUGCUAUUAUUUAUUGUUCGAAAUUUCGUACAUGGAAGGAAAAGCGUAUUCACACUUUCAUUAUAUCAAAACAGUAUUUCACUUGACCAGAUUACUGUAUAUAGUACUUGAUAAUACAAAAUCGAAGAUAUUUUAUACUGAACCCACGAUAUAUUUUAUAAUUUUAUGUGCUUGUGACCAAUACUCCUUUGUGAUAUACUGUCUAUAUUAUCAAAAUAUAUAUUUUUUAAAUUUUCCUCAAUACGUUGUUAUAUAAUAAGCCCAGAUUAAUGAGUUAAUUAUGAGAUCUUAAAUAGAUAAAAGAAUGUUGAGAGAGAGAGUGAGAGAGACCCCAAAAUAUACUUAAUUGAUGUAAUAUAUUUUUUUAGUGUUAGGGCUACCAAUGAAAAAUAUUAAAACGCACUAAAUCUCUA